GAUUGCAAGAGGACCCACCUGUGGGUGUCAGUGGUGCACCAUCUGAAAACAACAUCAUGCAGUGGAAUGCAGUUAUAUUUGGGCUCCGGACAUGCAGGCCCAGCGGCCAUGGCUCACGGGCCCAGCCGCUCCACGGCACGCGGGAUCCUCCCGGACCAGGCCACAAACCAGCGUCCUCCGCAUCGGCAGGUGGACUCCCAACCACUGCGCCACCAGGGAAGGCCUUCUUUUUUUAAUAUUUAUUUAUUUAUGUAUUUUUGGUUGCAUUGCUGUGCAUGGGCUUUCUCUAGUUGCAGCGAGUGGGGGCUACUCGUUGCAGUGCCCAGGCUUCUCAUUGCGGAGGCUUCUCUUGUUGCAGAGCACAUGCUCUAGGUGCGCAGGCUUCAGUAGUUGUGGCAGGCAGGCUUAGUUGCUCCGCGGCAUGUUGGGAUCUUCCUGGACCAGGGCUCGAACAUUUGUUCCCUGCAUUGGCAGGCGGAUUCUUAACCACUGCGUCACUAGGGAAGUCCAUGGUGUCAUAAUUAUCUUAAACUAAAGGGUAUUGAUUUCCAUCUUACAUUGAAAGUAAGACUUUUCCUCUUAAGAAUACAGAUAUUUACAAAAGCGUUGGUAUUUAUGAACUGAAUUCUUUUUGUGCUAAAAUUAUGACAAGUUUUUUUUGUUUUGUUUUUUGAAAAGCCACCCUAAAAGGAAAACUUUGAAAAUUAAAGUUACCCUUUAUGUCUACAUCAAUAAAAAUCCAGGGCUAUGGUGAUACUAAAUUAAUAAUAACUUAAAUACUCCACAAAUUACCAGAAUGAGCCCCUCUUUCUCUGAGUUUAUUCUUUCCACUUGUGAAAAUCAGGAAAAAGCAGAAUGAAAAACUUCUUUUAAUCAGAAAUCUUCUUGUUUUCAGACCAGAAGGGACACCCUUUGAAGAUGGUACUUUUAAACUAGUAAUAGAAUUUUCUGAAGAAUAUCCAAAUAAACCGCCAACUGUUAGGUUUUUAUCCAAAAUGUUUCAUCCAAAUGGUAAGUAGCAAUUUAUUAGCCUUUGCAAAUGAUAGGAGGAAAAAAGAGUUGUUUCAUCCUUUUAGGUCUUGCCCAUACUUCUCGUUAUUAGGGCCCACUUCUAGAUGUUGCUUCUAUGUCAAUAUUAACCAUACUUUUGUAGUCUGGAAUCUUAUCAAGGUUCUAGAUUUGAGAUAAAGUUUUGUUUUAAUAACUUCUGAUUUUAAAGUAAUAUCUAUUUAUUUAUCAAAAUGUGAAAGAUACUAAGGAUUUAUAGCUUAAAAUUUAGCUUGCAGGUAAAUGUACAAAAUUAAGAUCAUGUUGUAUGUAAGGUUAAGUAAUUUAUAUAUAACAUGAACAUUUUCACUCAUUAAACAUUCUUUUGUAUCUUUUUUUUUCUCCUCCUUUGGCCGCGCCACGCGGCUUUGGGGUCUUAGUUCCCCAACGAGGGAUCGAACCUGGGCCCCCGGCAGGGAGAGCACGGAGUCCUAACCACUGGACCACCAGGGAAUUCCCUAUAUCAUUCUUAAUGGCUGCAAAAUGUUCUGUUAUAUGAGUUUAUCAUUAUUUAUUUAAUCAUUGUCCAGUUGGUGAUUUUUAAUUGUUUACAGUUUUAAACAGCACAUUUUUCUUGAAAAUAAAUCUUCUCAAAUACCCAUGAAUAAGUUUUUAGAAGUAGGAUUAGUAGGUCAAAGGUUUGUAUGUUUUUAAGGGUUUUUUUUAAAUACAGUUUUCCUCCCUUGUUACUAUUUUUACUUUUAGCAGUUUAUUACUAUUUUCCAUAAAUGAUUGCUAAGUGACUUUUGUAAUUAAAUUUGCUCUUCCUGACUUAUUGCUCUUUACUUCUAAUAAAUUUGUAUUCCUGGAUUAUAAAUUACUGUAUGAAAGACUUAUUUUACAGAAUAUUUAAGUUCUCUUUUAAAUGUGGUUUUCCAUCAGUUAACUUACUUUCAGGAGGAACAUUUUCAGAGGUCCUCUUGAUUGUGCAUCUAGUCUAGAACUACAGACUACGUGAGAAAACUGCAGGCAGAUAGGGAUCUCCCUACUCAUAGGAGAGAGGUGUGUUUGUGUGUCUGGAAUCAAGGUGACUUCCCAAUAAUAGAUUAGAUCAUAGAUUUAGCCUUUGUGCUUUAUUGCUGUGAAGUUGCUUUUUCUUUCAAGGUCUUCCCCCACCCAGAGGCAAGGCAGAUUUAAUUUUAUUUUCUGUUUCUGUCCUGAGGAAAUUUUCAAGUCACUUAUUAUCAUUUAUUCUACUGUAGCUUUACUAGCUUAGACUUGUUAGUGAAUCGACCCAAACUGUAGUAAGGGAGCUCUGUAAAUCAAGGUAGAAAACACUGGAAUGUGCAAGGAGUAUAUGUGUAUAGGCUUAAGAUUUUCAGCCUUAACAAAUUUAUAAGGAAACAGCGUAUUUGAUUUUUAUCCCUUCAUAUUAAUAACAUGGUUUCCCUUUUUUCCACUAUCAGUACCUUAUUUAGUUAACUUCCUAGUUUGCUUUUUUUUAAACAUCUUUAUUAAAAGAUUCACAUACUGUGCUACUCACCCAUUUAAGUUGUACAAUUCAGUGGUUUUUAGUAUCGUCACUGAGUUGUGCAACCAUCACCAUUAUCAAUUUUAGAACAUUUUUAUCACCCUCCCCCCAAAAUCCCAUGCCUAUUAGCAGUCACUCCCCAUCCCCAUCCCCCCGCCUCCCAGCCAUAGGCAACCACUGAUGUAUUUUCACUCUACAGGUUUGCUUAUUCCGGACAUUUCAUAUAAAUGGAAUCAUUUAAUAUAUGUGGUCCUUUGUGAUUGAUUUCUUUCAGCUGACACAGUUUUCAGGUUCAUCUGUGUUGUAACACAUACCUGUACUUCAUUUCCUUUUAUUGCUGAAUGAUAAUCCAUUGUAUGGAUAGACUACAUUUUGUUCAUUCAUCAGUUGAUGGAUGUUCAGUUUCUAGUUUACUUUUGGAUUACUUCUCAAAAAUAGUUACUAGUUCAAAACUUUAAAAUCAUUUUACAGUUUUAUGGGUUUUACAGAGGUGAUGAUUUUUGCUUUGGACUUGCUAAGUUUGAUGUUCCUAUGGGAUACACAGUAAGUGGUUGACUAUGCUGCUUUAAAGCUGAGAGUUAAAUCUGGUCUAACGCUAACAAUUGGAAGUACCUAGCACAUAGAUAGUAAUAAUUGAGGCCAUGAAUAAAAUUGCCCAGAGGGUGUGUAAUGGGUAAGAAGGAAGAGGACCGAGGAUAGAGCCCUGAGGAAUGACAGUACUUAAGUGUAAUUUGCCUCCUCUCCCCAAAAAGGCCUCACUUAUUCCUGUUUGAUGCAGAGUGGUCUGGCUUGUUCUGCAUUCCACAGUUUGGCAGUAUCUAUAACAUUUAAAUAUAUUUAUCCUUUGUCAACACAGCAAUUCUGCUUCUGGAAAUUUAUUGUAGAGAUAAAUAAUCUGGCAAGUUCUGGAUAAAAAUUUAUGUUCAUUGUAUUCUCACAUAAUCAGUUCAGGAGGGGGGAAAAGCCUCUCAAAUGUUAGACUUUUAAAACGGUAGCCCUUGAUUUUUAUUUUUAUUAUGAAAGGAAUGCAUACUUAUUGGAAAAACAAAUCAUAAAGUACAAGGAAAGGUAAAGAAGAUAAUACCCUUCAUAAUCCUAUUUACAGAUAUUUACAUUUUGGCAUUUAGUCUUACAGAUGUUUUUGUGACUGCAUAUACUUCAGAUGAAAAUAUUUAUAAAUAAUUCUUUAUAAAAAAUGGAAUUAUCCUAAAUAAGUAAUUGGAAACUUAUUAAUGUAAUAUAUUGAGGGUGUCAUUCUACAUUAAUUAACAUAUGGUAGAUGUAUAUCAUUUCUGGCGGCAGUAUUGGUAUGUACCGUUAAUAAUGUACCAUUAUUUAGCCAGUCCCCUCACUGUGGACCAAAGGUAGUUUCCAGUUUGUCACUUCUAUAAAGAGUAUUAUAGUGAACAUCCUGUAAAUAAAACUUUGCAUGUCCAUGAUUAUUACUUUUAGAGUAGAAUUGCUAUGUCAAAAAUUCAGCUUUUUUAUCCCCCCAACAAUUUUAUUUAGGAAUAUUUGGAAAUGUGGAAUUUAAACAGAUUUGCUAUAUGGUAUGUAAUGAAAAAAUUUAACUCUCACUCAGCCUCCUGAUCAAAAGGCGUGUAAAGAGUCCUUAGUUUGAGACUGAUUUUCCUGUGAGACAAAAAGUUUUAGUUAUUGACUAAUGUUCAAGAUUUCUGACUGAGCCAAGCAUUCGGUUUGUGGUAAAAAUUUCUCUUUAAUUGUUAGAAAUGACAAAGUUAAUAUGUAACCAAUUUUAGUGUUGUCUUUGCAGUGUAUGCUGAUGGUAGCAUAUGUUUAGAUAUCCUUCAGAAUAGAUGGAGUCCAACAUACGAUGUAUCUUCUAUCUUAACAUCAAUUCAGGUAAGCAUGUGUUAGGAUGCAUCUUAACUUUUCAAGAUUCUAUGGGAUAUAAUUGGCUCUUUUAGGAUCAAUUUAAAGGCCAAGUGAGCAAACUAACCUUCCCAACACUAAGGUAACCAGUGGCAGAGCUUGGACAAAACCCUCAUGAUUUUUAUACAACCGAUCUGCUUUUUCAUUCGGGACCACAUUGGAUCAAAUACACAAUCAUUCUGAUCAAAUUUAAGUAUAAAGUGUUCUCACAGGUCAGGUGUUUGUUUUGUUUCGUUUGGGUUUUUUGGUUUUUUUUUUUUUUGCCACACCACAAGGCUUGUGGAAUCUUAGUUCCCUGACCAGGGAUUGAACCCAUACCCCCUGCAGUGAAGGUGCAGCGUCCUAACCACUGGACCACCAGGGAAUUCCCUCACGGGUCAAGUAUUAUUCGUGCCCAAAAAGAAGAGUCUUCUUGGGGAGAGAUAAAGAUGAUUGUUUAGAAAAAAACAUAGGGACCUCAAGAAACUGCAGAAGUGCAGAGAAGCAUUGAGUAUGUUGCCCCAUCCAAGAAAUUCUAUUUUAAACGAAAGUAAAUAACUAUUUGCCAAAGUACUCUGGCAGAAUAUUUCAGAGUUGACCUUGAAUGACAGUUUGGGGGAGGGGUGGGGGGUGAGUGAUGUUUUAGUUAUAUGGAUUUGAGAGGAGCAGAAGUAACGUUUUUGGUUUAUGACAUUUUUAAAGUUUUUUCUGUCACACUUCUGCUUUAAUUCAGGUCAUCUUAUAAAGUGUUUUCGGCUUUCCUGUUUCAUUCCCUUGCUGCUAGGUGCAUAUGUUUUGUUGAUUAAAGGAAACAAGGUACACCACCCAACUUACUGUCAGAAAUUUGCAAACUUACCUCAGUAAUAGAGUUUAACUUUGGAAAAUGUUAGUUGCUAAGCUAUUUUAUAGAUAUUGUGUAUUAACCAAAUCAAGUUGUUUAUUUCCUGGUUAAUGUCUCAGUAUGCUGAAGAAUACUGUUCUUUUCCAAUUUCUUUGAGAUUAGAGAUCUUAAGGCAAUUAAGAACUAUCUGUUUUGAAAGCUUAAGUUUUCUAGCAGCAGGAAACUUCUUACUGUAUUUAUCAAACCAUUUCUGAAAGUACUUAGAUCUAAAAAUAUGUAAGACGUACUAAUUUCUGUCUUUCUUCGUAGAAUAAUUUGUUUUAUACAACUUCUGUGCUCCAUAUCGGACCCAUGUUAAUAUAAAGAAUAACUCUACAAAUAUGUUUUAUCUCUGUCUUUCCUUCUAGUCUCUGCUGGAUGAACCAAAUCCAAAUAGUCCAGCCAAUAGCCAGGCAGCACAGCUUUAUCAGGAAAACAAACGAGAAUAUGAGAAAAGAGUUUCGGCCAUUGUUGAACAAAGCUGGAAUGAUUCAUAAUAGACAACUGGUCUGUUAAUCUUUUUCAUCAUUGUUGUGUAUAAUUUACCUCUCAGUAGAAAGGCUAACAAAUUUUAAGUGCCACAGGUUUUAAGGAUUCUGCAGAAAAAAAAACCUUCGGUUUAGAACCUACAAAAGCUUGUGUAUCUUGAUUAAUGUACUUUUUAUUGCAUGGUGUGAACUAAGUUAUUGCUUACAUAAAUUUGUAAUAUAUCCUGUUUGUAUUUUUUUCCAAGUGUAUAAUGUUGGUGUGGAGUUUUCAUGACAGAAUAUACACAUUUUGUAAAUCUGUACUUUUUUCAAAUAUUGAAUGCCUUAUUUUUGAAUUCUUUAGAUUUUUAAAUUGGAGAAAAGCACUUAAAGUUUUUUAUAUAUGAAUAUUACAUGUAAAGCUGUUAAAAUACAUAACUUCAGUGCAA
Molecule: RNA transcript, 6186 nt
Organism: Orcinus orca (killer whale)
Lineage: Eukaryota; Metazoa; Chordata; Mammalia; Artiodactyla; Delphinidae
Gene: UBE2B
Gene name: ubiquitin conjugating enzyme E2 B
Exons: 3
Source: RefSeq, a predicted model, not a curated record